Molecule: long non-coding RNA, 19171 nt
Organism: Cavia porcellus (domestic guinea pig)
Lineage: Eukaryota; Metazoa; Chordata; Mammalia; Rodentia; Caviidae
Exons: 4
Source: RefSeq, a predicted model, not a curated record
GGCUAGAACAAGAGAAACGUGGCUGAUAUUGACUCAUUUUAGAGGCACGCUGACAAACAUCCUGACAAGCAUCUGAUCAGUUCCUGCCCGGUGGAGUGGCAAGCUCAUAUCGCUAGAAACUAGCAGGCCUGAACUUGACCCCUGGCUUCUGCAGCAGAGGAGACAGCAAUGUUCAGUGUUGAGAGUUAUUUGCAUGUUUUGGAUAUAACGAUCUUUUGGAUAACAGUUCUUUAUCAAUGGUGUCUCUUGCAGCUCUCAGGUCCAGAAGUCCAAAAUCCAGGCAUCAGUAGGAUCGGUUCCUUUGGAAACACCAAUCAAGCAUCCUCCCUGCAGACUUAUAUCCCGCCUCCCUGGCCACUGGAGAAGGUUUCUGGGCAUGAGGUCUUCCAGGAGGAAGAGAGAUUCUGGUUGCCAGCGUUUCGUUUCGCAUCAGGAUACGAUGGCAAAUGCUAAGCACUGUUUUGGUUGUUCACAGUUCUAGUGGUGGAUCAUGUUCUCGUUCGCAGUUGUCAUCUUCCCACCCUGUAGGAGCACCUGCCCUCUGCUCCCUGCCAUGUGACCUGUAGCACCUUCUCAUGAGGACCGUGAACUCUCCCAGGUUCCGGGCUCGGCCAUGCACUCUCCUUCCUGGCCCCCAGGGAAGAGAGGGCAGUGGCGCAUGCCACCUCCACUCCAUGCCUGCAUGAUCAGUGUGGGCUUCUACUUCGUGAAUCUGACCUUGAUCAUGAGCGUGAGAUAGUAUCUGGGCUGUUCCUUCAUCUUGGGGCUCAGAAUAAGAUGACAUGGAAUAAAAGUCACAUUUGACUCAUAUCCGAUGAGUCAUCUGGGUAAAAAAUAAAUGUUAUUGGUUGUAAUCCCCUAAAAUUCUAGAUGGUGUGUCACAGCCGCUUCACCUAAUGAAAGCUGAAUCCUGGGAAAUAGUGCUGGGCUGUGUUUAGUCACAAAAUUUCUGGAUAGCUCUGAGGAAUGGGCUACCUCUGUGUUUAAUCUUGAUCUACUGUCAGUUGAUAAAAACUGGCUGUUAUUUACAGCAAUCAAGAUAUGAUAUCCUUUACUAGUGACUAUGUUGAUUGCAAAGAAGCUUCGGAAGCUAUUUGGCAAUGUAUAACAAGCCUGAAUGUUUUGUACUACUCAGAUCUAGCCAACGAAUGGAGAGAUUGUGUUAUUUGAAAAGGUGGAGGGCUUGGUGAUACACACCUGUGAUCCCAAGACUCAGGAGGCUGAGGCAGGGGCCUAUUGCAUGUUCCAGGCAGGCAUGGGCUACAGAGCGAGUUCAAGGCCAGCCUGAACCACAUAGCAAGACUUUAAUCUUAAAAAAAAAAAGGAAGAAAAACUGGAAACCACCUAAAUGCCCCGUCACAAGGAGAUAUUUAUAAAAUAUAUGAUUACACUGGCUUUUUUUUUUUUUUUUUGGUUGCUGGGACAAAAUAGCUGAGAAUAUUUAUUUUGGUUCAUGAUUUUAGAUAUCCAGUCCAUGUUAGGUUGGCUCCAUUGCUUCUAGGUCCAUGCAAAACAUCAUAGCUGAAGGGCAUGGUGGAGAAAAGAGCUGUCUCAUGGCAUCCAGGAAGCAGAGGAAGAGAGAGAGAACCAGAGAAUAGUUCUACCGUGGAAGUCAUGCCCUCAAUGACCUACCACCUCCUAAUAGCUCAUUCGGCUGGCUAUGAAUUUAUCAGUGAUUAUGCCGCUGAUGAGGUUGGCUUCCUCAGUUUGGAGAUACCUCUCCAGGCUUCUCUUAAUCCAGUCAAGUUAAUGAUCAAAGUUAACCAGCACAAUGAUGGCUGUUAUGAAGUCAGGAAAAUCAGUAAUGAGUAAAGACAUGGGGGAGAUGCUUAUAUUUUAACACUGGGUGAAUUAAACAGACCUAUAAAUAUCCAGCAGUCCAAAUUCAUAUAACAGAUCUGCAAUCAUACAGUUCAUAAUUUCCAAGCUUUUUUCACUCUUUCCCUUUGUACACACACAGUUGUGUAUAAAAAGUAGACCGGGAAGAAAUAAGGAAAAAAACCCAAGCUCAUCCCUAGUUGGUGUUUUCUGUUCUACAUUUUCUAAACUUUCUAUGGUGCAUGUGUACUACUUUGGUAAUCAGAAAUAAGUGAGCGCUAUUUAAAAACAAGAACCAUUUCGGUCACCUCCAGGGCAGUGCCUCGUGCUGUGGUGGCAGAGGGGCCCUAAUUGGGACUCCUCAUCUAAGAAUAAGCCUGUGUGUUUAACUAGGUCACUCUCCUGCCGACCUAGAAUCUCUGCACAGGGCUUAGCCUGUGCUCCCAGAACCUCCAGGCGCCGCUGUUCCGGCCCCCGGAGGCUGCUGGGCCGGAGCCGCCUGCGCUUCUGCCUGCCUUCAGCCAAGUGUAAAUUUGAGCAGUUUGAGAGCUGUCACCCUGGGGAAGCUACUACCCUCAUGCCUCUCUCACAAGUCUUUUUCAAAAACAAAUUUAGCCAAGUCUGUGCGAUGGAAGAGAAAAACAGGGGCUGGUGAAGUAAGCAUUUUAACCAUUUGGGGGUACUAACAGUUCAUUAAUUCUGUGGCUCCUGUUCAUGGUUCCAGGUGGCCGUCUGGGUAGGGUAUGUCCUGUCACACAUGUUCAGGCUCUAGACUGGCUGGUGAGCAGGGGCCGGGAGGGGACGAGUCUCAGAAGUGCGUAAAUUCACAGGCUGUGAACCUCCUGGGAGGGGCGCUGCCCCUGGGGAAAGGGGCAGAGGACAGCCAGCUCUGCCCUGCAUUGAGGCCUUGAAUGCAGGGGACAGUGCUUUUCCAGGUCGCCUCCCUGCAGAGUCUGUUUCCCUUAAGUCUUGGUGCAGGUUAGCCCCAGGAGGGGUGCAGCCUCUGCAUGUGUGUGUAUGUAUGUGUGUGUGUGUGGUGUGUGUGUGUGUGGGUGUGUAGGAGCACAUCACAUGUGGUGAGCAUCUGCAGUGUUGGGAUCAGAAUUGAGGACAAUCAGGGACAAGACAACUGGGACAGCAGCCUCGUAGGAGCCGCCUAUGUCAACAAUAGUAUAGCACCCUCCACUUCCAAAACUACUAUUUGGUAGCUGGUCUACAAGCAUCUGUGUAAACUCCGUCCUGAGCUCUGUCUGUGGAGUACAGCACCCCUCCCAUCGUCUUCAGCCAGAUCUGCCUUAGUUACAGUCACCUUCUUCUUCUUCUUCUUCUUCUUUUUUUUUUUUUUUUUUUGUCUUUUUCAUUUUUAUCGGUACCGGGGAUCAAAUUCACGACCGCCUGCUUGCAAGGCAGGUGCUUGUCCCGCUGAGCUAAAUCCCCAGCCCCUACAGUCACCUUCUAUCUUUCCAUCCCCUAGACGGUUUCAUACAUGAACCUUUAAACUCCAUGGUCUCUAAUUCUUUCUAGCUGAGGUAUGAUACAUACAAAGUGUGAGAUACUGUGAAUUGGACCUGGGGCCCUCACACCAAGCUUCACCCUCAGCUUCCUUUCAUAUAUAAUAUAUGGUAUGGCAAGCUGGGCUCAAACUUUCGGUCCUCCUGCCUCAGCCUCCCAGGGAGCUGGGAUUACAGGUGUACCCCCUGAUGCCUGGAUGAAUGCAUUUGUUCUUGUGCCCAGUAUAUAGUUCAUUUCUCUUCACAGAUGAUUCCAACACUUUAUCCAUUUUGGUGCUAGUGAACAAUUGAGUUGUUUCCAGUGGGGAUGAUGUUAAACAAAGACGCCAUGCAUUCUUACAUGCAGAUUGGCUGGACGUAUGCUGUCUCUUUUAACCCACUGUCCUUCCUUCAGGGUCUUGGCCACUCCCUGAGAAUGGCCCCUGGGGACAGACCACACACCUGCCACGCUUCCUGCUCAUGGGUUCGGCCACUGCCUGGUCUCCUCUCUUUCUUGGCCAUGAUUGCUGCAGCAGGGCCUUUCCCUGCCCUCCACUGCUGCCUACCCCACAUCACCACUGACCUCAGCGGUCCAGGCCUCCUGUGCCUCUACCUGCUGCCAAAUGCAGGGGUGCUCGGCCCUUCUGCAGCACUCCUGCCUCCUCCUGGGCUUGCCUGCUCCCAUGCUGCCUCUUGCAUUCACUACCUGCUUAUGCCUGGGGCUGUGUCCUCAGCUCUGGUCCCCUGCUUGUCUGUCCCCAGGGGCCCUCUUGCUGCUGGGAACUUGGCUACCCUUGAUGCUAAUGCAGCUUCCUUAUCCUCAGUCUCUAGAUCCUCAGUCAGAGGAUACGCUAGGCCCAUUCGGUGGUGAACUUUGAUUCACCUUGAUGUGAGGUUCUUUUUAUGUGUUUCUGUGCCCGCCUCAUGUGAGAGGAUAUUCAUCUGUUGACUGCACCAAUGCCCGUGUGUUUCAUUCCCCUGCCCCGACUAAGGGUGUGAUCACGCAUAUAUACAGUAAAUUGUGUUACUUCUUACAUUUAGAAAAUAUGGAGUUCUGAAAUAUAUCUGUCCCCAGAGUUUCAGAGAGGCCACCACAGACUGGCAACUCCCGCAUCUGCGUGAGCCCAGGCCUCCCCAGCGCAUGAUGGCACCGCUUCCUGGCAGCAUCUCUGGAUCUGUGGCCCCAUUCCGGCCUGUCCUCUCUGGGAUCCGGUGUGGCUGGGUGGCUCAGGCCUGCCCACUCUUCCUCACUUCCCUGUGCGUGGGGCCUUUGCUGACCUGGCCUAGCUUCCCUCCUCUACCUCCCUCACACCCCCAGGACCAGCUGUGGGCUGCUUCCUUCCCCUUCCCCUUUCAAGCCUGGGGUUGCUGUGCUGAGAAUUCUUCACACAGUCCGGUCCUCGCUUCCUGUUCAUUUCUCAAGAGGGUGGGCAAAGUUGUCUCCUGCACCUGGAGGCACCCCCAACAAACAGUGCACUCCCAGCUGCCUCUGGCUGGCUCUUCAGCCCCGGUGAGCAGUGCUUGCUGGCUCAUGACACAGUCGCUGGGUGAGAACCCAGAAUGAGUGUCUGCCCCUUCUUCAAAGCUGCAGGUCCCCACGGACUCCAGCCCCAGCUUAGGGGCACUGGGAGCUGGCCUAUAAGGUGAGCGUACUGCCAGAGCCAAGGUCUCAUCCCUUAAUGCUGGCCACUAGGCUCCAACAAGACCUCGUGAAAUGCAAAAGUUUUUCCUUUAUUUGAAAAGUGAGCAAAUAUCAAUGUAUUUAUGAGCCUGUACUCUGCUACUUUCAUUUGGCAUAGACAUCUCUUGUAAUAUCUGUCAUUUUAUACCACUCAGUUUUCAUUACUGAACCACAUAUCAGAAAAUGUUGAUACUCCAGAAAAGAAAGCAAGCCUCACCUUACUGCCUGCCUAUGAUAGCUAUUUGCAGUUUUAAAAAUUCUCUUUGUGUAUGCAUUUUGUACAUAGUUUGCAUGUUUGUGGGAAUAGAAUUUUGUGUUCUGCCACCACCCAUAUCUUUUGUUUGUUUUUUUAAGAUAGGGUCUUGCUAUGUAGUUCAAACUGGUUUUGAACUCACAAGGCUGCCCAGGCUGGCUUCAAACUGACGGCAAUCUCCUGCCUUACUCUCCUGAGUGCUAGGAUUACAGGUGUGCGCCACCACGCCAAGCUUAUGAUAGUUUAAGCAUCAUAUAUCUGCAUGUAUAAUAGUUUAAAAAUUACAGAUUCCCUUUUCUUUAGUUGAGCAUUGAUUUGACCUGGUUUUGCAUGAUCAGUCUUGUUGCGUUUAGCCUGUUUUGUGGUUCUAGAGGCUGCACUUGUGACCCCUUGCAGGGCCUGCUGCAGACCCCUGUGCCUACCAGAAAUUAGCAGCCACGCCACGCACGGCCUCCUGGUGGCACUGGGCUGGAAGCCUUCUUUUCACCAACCUGCUUGAGCACUUGUCUGUCUCAUUUCUUCUACUGGGCUUCUUUAAGAGCCAGGAACGCGUUUCACUCACAGGCCAGGCGUGAGGUAGAUGCUUCGUAACUGCAUACUGUCUCCUCACAAGGACUUGGGUGUAGGAGGCAGCUGACCCUCGCAAGGUCUCUGACUCCUGCAAAAGCUUCUGUUUGCCCCAGCACCUGGCCAGAACCCCUGCCUCUCAAGGUUACAGUGGGAGGGGUGAGGAUAGGGUCUUGGUUGGGGAGGCCCCCCAGCUUUGGCAUUCAAGGCCUUUCCUGACUCAGCCUCCGUGGAGCUGGGCAAGAAGUCUUGGUACCAGCCAGGCCAGGUGUGGGGCUUUCCUGCAGCUCCCUGUCCUUGCCCUCUUGGCUGGUGAGUCUUCACCCCAGGCCUGACCUCCUUCUCAAGGACAGGCCACAGCUGUCUCCUGAGCUCCUGCUGCCUCCUCGGCUGUACCCGAGUCUUCCCAGGGGUUUCCUGGCCUGUCAGACCUGCAGAGUUGCUGAGCGGGUGGCUCCGUGGGUUUUCCAGUAAACAGGAACGGGCUCAUUUUUACCUAAAAGGGGGACCCCAAGAGCCUUGCAGGAUGGCCCCUGACUUCCCCUGUCCCCAGCCUGUGCUCUCAUAGGAUGUCAGGAUGGCUGUGUGGGUGGCCUCCCUGCCUGUUUCCUUCCCCCCUCCCCGAGCUGCGGCCACCCUGGGGCUCCAGCCUGAGUCCUGAGGUCAGUGCCUGGCACACCCACUGCUGGUCCUGGGCCAGUACAACUCUCACACACCUACCCCCACCACAUCCACGUCACACUCACACUCACACACGAACUCCAGGGGCUCCCGGUGUUUUGCUAGAAGGAACCACAAGUUCUUGGGAGUUUUUUGCUUCUCACUCGAAAUCUCCCUGUCCCUGACUCCCAGCCAAAGAGGAGGGUGGUAUUUGCCCUAGGUGGGGUAGAAUUGUUUCUGGGAUAAAGUGCUGCACGGCCUUGACUCUGUUCCAGGCUCUCCCCAGUACACCGAGCACUAUCUCUGGUCAUAGUCCAGUCGCACAAGCCGUUGGCCAUCUGGCCACACUAGCAGGGAGGAGGGGGCUGGGACCAGCACCGUGGCAGGCUCUGAGGACCCAGCCAUCACCCCAGAGGCAGAUCCCAUCCCCAUGAUCCACUUGCUUCCUGCUUCUCAGCACUGGCUUAUGGCUGGCCCUGAGAAAUUCCUUUUCCUUCUAAAGGGAUGAAAAUCGUCUCUUUCCUUAAAGACCUUAUCCCUGACUGUCUUAUCAAAAAGACUUCCCAGGGCAUGCGGUUAGCUCCCACCUCCCUCUCCCUGUAGUAAGGGUGCCUGCCUGUGUGAGGAAGCCCAGGAUGGUUCUGGGGGAAUGCCUCUGCUUCCCCUAAGAGGGUUUCUCCAAGCUCCAGGAGACAGAAGCCUCCUCCAUCCCCACGGCGUGGCCCCCGAUACUAAAGCCUCUGGGGUGACACAUGUGGGUUACAGCUAGGCCCAGAGCUUCCCGCUGCCCCAUAGCUGCCCCUGAUCUGGUAACCUGCACGCAGGCAGCCAGGGGACAGAAAGCUGCCACAAAAACACUUCUUAAACAGAUACUGUUUAGAAGGAAAGGAGUUCGAGGACAGUGACUGGGAAUAUGGCUGUCCCCAGAGAACACAGAUGCUCUAAUUCUAAGAGUUUCAAAUUGGGCUGGGUAUGAUGGUGCAUACCAUAAUCCUCAUCCCAGCACUGGGAAGGCCGAGGCACGAACAUUGCCUCAGGUUAAAGGCCAGCCUGAAGACCCUAUCUCUGAAAAAAAAAAAGAAAGAAAACAAAAGAAUUUCAGAAGUGCAAUAAUCUCAAGUUUAUGUGAAGUUAUAAAAUAAAAAAUUAUACACAGGAAUUUCUUACAUGCUUUACCAAGAUUUACCCAUUGUUAAUGUUUGGUUCCAUUGUUUUACCACUGUUCCCUGAGCCUGUAUAUACACACAUGGUCAUUUUUCCUGAGCCAUUUGAUGGGAGGUGAUAUGCAUAAAGACUUCUACCCUAAACCCUUCAGUGAAUAUUUCUCAGGAGAAAGGAUAUUUUCUUACAUUACCACCAUGUGAUCAUCCAGUUUAUAGGCUUGGACUGGCAUGUGGUAAUUUCAUCUAACCGACCACCUGUUUUCCAUUUGUCCUGAUAGAUCCACUAAUAUCCUUAGCAUCCUGUGGCCUGCAGCAGGAUUCAGUGGAGGCCUGGAGAUCAUGCUCAUUUGUCAAUGCUCUUCAGCCCCCUAAAUCUGGAAUGACUCCCCAGGGCGAAUACACCUGCCUGGCUGUCUGGGCUCGGUUCUACUCUACCAGGCAUUAGCUCUGUGAGAACAGUCAAGUGCUUACUCUUCUGUGCCUCGUGUAAUAAUCUGUACACUCAGAAUAACAACGGACCUAUUUUGUGGGGGUGUUAGAGGCUUGGCUCACAGGAAAAGGAAGGCAAUGCAUUCCCUGUGUUAUGACAGAUCUGUGUGGCUAGGGUUCAGGCCUAGCGAGACCCCAGGACAUCUCAGAUCCUUCCCCCAGUUAGUCUAGGGGCUCAGAGGCCUCCACAUGAGGUGGAAACCACAGAUCUGGUGGGGCCAUGGCUGCUGCUACAGACAGCAGCCAGCCGAUGGCCAGCCAUGCCAGCUGGGCAGAGCAGGUGCAAGUGUGGCAGGGCACAAACCCUAUGCUGUGUCCAGUCAGCCCUCGGGGAGGGCUGGGGCUGCAUCUGUGAGGUGACAGGGUGUACUGAGUGUCACAGAUGGCUUCCUUCCCUUAAGUGUGAAGUGAAUUCCAGAUAGACCCCAGGCUUUGCUGUAGGGAAAGCAAAAUACACAUUUCUACAGCUGCAGUGCGGCUUCUGUGGGAGGGCCGAGGAACUUCUGCAGGGCCCUGUAACCAGACACUCUUCCUCCUUCUGUUUUCUGACCUAAAAGGGAACUACACAGUGUGGGAAACCCUCAUAAAGGGUUAUGAGAUGGGAAAACAGGUGGAAGGGACUCCUGAAAUCUUCUGGAAACCCAUCAAUUAAGGCUGUUAUGUAAAGCAUGCCAUCUGUCCAUCUGUCCAUUCAUUGAUCCACGCAUUCAACUCUGUCCAUGCAUGCAUCCCUCCACAUAUCCACCCAUCCACCCAACCAUCCAUCCAUCCAUCCAUCCACCCAUCCAUCGAUCCAUCCAUCCAUCCAGCCAGCCAGCCAGCCAUUCCUCCCUCCCUUCAUGCAUGCCUCUGUCCAUGUAUACUUCCAAGAAGGGAUGUGGUAUCACCUGGGACCUUCACUCCUCUGCCUCACCAUCCAGGGCUCAUCUGACAUUGUCAAGGAAGCAGCUAUCUCACAGACAUGCUUUCCCCUCAUAACUUUCAGCCCUUUAAAAGUGCUUACCUUCACUUAGGUUAGUAUUUGGGAGAGAAAGAUGGCUAAAAUGAAUCAUAAACCUGUCCUCCUCAGAAGAAACCAUGCCCUUCACCCAGGUGUUUCUGGGUGAGCCCGGUCACUCCUCUGCAUAGAGGUCACCUCUCUGUGGUGAAGAUGGUGGUGUGAAUCCACAAGGCCAAUCCACAAGUGUGCAUGAUGUGGCCUCAGUUGCUCUGCUUUUUCAUAACUCAUUUUGCAGCUGUUUUCCUUGGUGGUGAGACGCCCAUCACUUGCCACUUCCUACAAGUCUUGGCAUGUUUCUUUCGAUUUCAUCUUUAAAUGGUCUUAAGCUGGGGAAUUUGCUAACCAAAUGUGUUAGGAUUUGUGUAAAGCAAGAGUCCUUUAUAUAUUUAUCAAAGACUUUUAAUCCUUAAAGCCUUUGUGACUCCUAUGUUUGCCUUAUUUAUAAAAUGCUUCAACUCCCCAGGCAAUUGAGGUCCUCGGCUGCUGCGUCUGCAUAGGUCAUAGGUUGUAGGUCAUAGGUCAUAGAUGUGGUGGGGUGUGGGUGAACUGCUCCUCCUUUAUCCUUACAGAGUUCUCUUGCCCUGGUUGACUGCUCCCCCAUAGGGAGGGGAAGGAGAGAGGGAGAGGGUUGGGGCUGGCAGUGUCAGAGGGGUUGGAAGUUUCUAAGGGAGACAGUGUGACCAGGGCCCUGCUGAUAGUGUGCAGAUGGCUGGGGAAGGGGCCACAGCCUCUCCUUCACCCUUGGUGGUGAUGACCAGCAUGGAUAGGCCAGGGAUUCCCAGCCCGGAGCCCAGCAGGGGGUCUGAGGCCCUGGGGUCUCAAGGACUGACAAGGGACUGUGGCUAGAGGUGUGAGGGGAUUUUGAGAAGGUGCCAGGGAGCUCAAUCUGCAAGUACUCAGCACAACCUGGCAGCACACGGGCGCCUUUCAGCACACAGGUGGAAGGACCCUGAAACGGCUGGUGCUGGGCUAUAUGGGACAGCUUUCUACAGGUAGUAGCGGCUGGUCAAGGUGAAAAAACCGACAAUGGGACAUUCCAGAGGUUGUCCCUUCCCUUCUGUCUCUCCCACAAAGAUCUCUUCCCUUUGUCCCUCUCUAAUCCAGGUGACCUCACAGUGAACUCACUUCAGAAAGCGACAGCCCCAGCCCCCACUGACAGCUGCACAUUUCCAUGAGGUGCGACAAUGACCUGCCUGCCCUCCGCACACACUUGGACACAUACACUGUUCUGUGCUUGGACCCAGAAGAGGCCCUGGCUCCCCCUCAUUCCCCCAUCACUGCUGCAGCUGUAGGGUACAAGGUCCCCGCUGCAGGACUUGGGAGAAAUACGUGGGGAAGGAAGGAUGUGAGGUGUCGCAGAUCCCAGCCAGCAGAGCUGUCACCCUGGCAUUGCAGGGCCUUCCUCUGCAGCCACUUACUCUGAGAGGUGGCUGGGGGUGGCUCCUAGGCUGAAACCUAAGAAAAGGUUCAGAGCAGAGCUGGGGGCCCCAAGAGUCCCUCCACGUGUGCCCCAGGCAUGAAUCCCCAUUCUGUGGGGCAAGACAAAGGAGGCUGGGCAGGUGUUUUUGGCCACCAGCAGCAGCUCCACUAUACCACUGUGUGGAGGGAACCCCAGGGCACUGCAGGAAAUGAAGAAGGGGGCGGAGAGGUGCAGAGACCUUCCCACCCCCACCUCAUGGCUGGCAGAGUGGGCUCUGACUGUCAAGGCCUUUCCUGCCUUGCUCUGCUCCCACGUGCCUUGCUCUGGAUCCCUGGGAGAGGGGUCUGAGGUGUGGGCAGGGGUCUGGGGCGUGGGCAGAGGCCUGGCCUCAGCUCAGUGCCUUGAACCCUGUCCUGUCCCUGCCAGGCCAUCAGGAUGUACCUGUUUGCUGACAGUGAGGCAAGUGUUUGGGGUGGGCCAGGAUGGGCUGCCCAAGGCCAGAGAGGGCCAGGACCCUCCCAUGUCCACCCUGCCCCCAGCCAUGACCAAGCCUAUGAGUGGUCAUUUCCCUAGUGGGCAGGGGAGAGGCACUUGCAGGCAGGUAGAUGGUGGGGAGGAGCUGGCCAGGGUGAGAAGUGGGUGAGGUCAGGGCACAAUGGGCCAAGGAAGGGAACAUGUGACAGACCCAAGGCACUGUGGAGCUCAGUGUUCCCGGGUAGUGGGAGCGGCCCCAACUUGGUGCCUGUGCUCAUGUCACAUGUCCCUGGGUCGCUCUCAUUGUACUGGAAGGGGCCUGGAGGUUGUUCUGAUCAUGUGAAGUUCAGUGCUCUUUCCAUAGUCACCUUUUGAACACUCUCCUGUGCCCAGCUUGAUUGAGGACACUGCUGAGCGAGGUCCACGGGUUCCUAGCCCUAGGGUUGUCCUCUUGGACAGGGAGGCUGCAGUGGCAGUGGAGCCAGACUUCCCAGGUUGUGCAUGUGAACCCCAAGUGCGGACAUGGCCAUUGCCCUGUCCCACAGGCCGAAGGCUCAGCCAGGCCUUGGAGGUCCUACUUUGAUCCAGUAGUGGUGGACUUGUGGGAGCCCCGGUUCUUUAUGGCGGGGACAGUCCUAAGAUAGUCACAGGGUAAUGGCAGGUGCUGAGGCUCUGCGUUCCUUGACCCCUGGCUGGUUGAGGGGACUCCCUGUCCUUAGACUUGACCUGCCUGUGACCACUGCUGGCUUUACUGACCUGGUUGUCCUGGGGGGCAGGUAACUAGGGGGCCCCUUCUGAGGCCCUGUAGCCUCUUCCCUUCCAGAGGAGAAGUCAUGGUUUUCUGGGCUCAGGGGCCCCUCUGAGCCAGCAUGGAGCAGGCUCUUGGGACAUCGAGGUGAGGGAAGAGAUACCCUGUACCUCAGGGAUAUACUGUCAAGUCCAAGAAGUGGCAGGGCUGGUGGCCUUGUCUGGUGGUUCCUCCGCUGCCCAGGGGGAGCUGGCAUCUGGGCCUGGGACAGGGUGAGGAGAGGGUCAGGACUGGCCCUUUCCUUGUGGUGUCUGUUCUGCAGCUCAUGAGGGAGCCUCUGUGCUCUGCACAGGACAGCCAAGACCCAGAGAGGUUACAUUUACCUGAGGUCACGCAGGCACAGGGGCCAAGCUGGGACUUGAGUCCUUGUGGUCUGAGCCCAGAUUCCCUGGGUGUUUCAGGGGCAUCCAUCCUCCCCUUACUCUGCCCUCCUCAGGGCCCUGGGGUGCCAGUAUGUUCGAGGCACACUUUUCUACGUAUUCCUGGGUGUCAUUUGGGGUGAAGGAUUAGGGAGCACUCACACUUUUGAGGUUCUGGGAGUUGCUGGGCUUAAGUCACUGCUGUGUCACUCCAGCCAGGUCACCUGAGUCCCUGAAAGCCUCUGUUCCUUGUCCCGUGGGGCCUGUGUGGUCCCUGCUGCUGGGCUCUGGUCUUACCUGCCCUAGGGGUGAUGCAUGUGGGGGGUGGGGUGGGGGUGGAGCAGAGACUGCUGGUCGAGCUGUCACCCCUGUUGCUCCAUCUGUCUUUCAGAGUGGUUAGAACAGCUGGAGAGGUUGGGCCCGCAUCUGGCAGGGCUGUACCAGUGAGAACCCUAACUUUCUGGGGAUGGUGGUGAGAGGCGGGUGGAGGUGCCAGCCAGGUUCAGGUCUGGCAGCGAGGUCUGGGCCAAGAUCACCAGGAACCUGGGAAGACUGGUCUCGUUCUGUGACCUCUAGGCCUUUUCCCACGACCCUUUGGGGGUCUCUAACUGUGGCUCCUCUACUCCCGACUAACGGGGGGGGGCAUUUUUGCACCAGGCACGUUGGAUGGGUGCAGUCAUGGGCUAUGAGUCAUCCACUCCGCCCAGGAACGCAGAGGAGGACGGGCGCGUGUGUCCUCUCUUGUCCCUGUCUAGGAUGGCUUUGUCCCCAAUUCCGGGAGCCCUGCUCCGAGCCUCCGAGCGCGCUGAGAGCCCCCGACCUGUCCUCCGGCGCCCUCUACUGGCCGGCCUUCCCACGGCGCCCGCAGGCUGCUGGGCGCUGGGCCAGCGGUCCCGCGGUGCCUUCAGCAGCUUGCUCUUCACUGCAGGAUCCACAGAAUGCGCCACCUGCUGGGUCGCGUCCUCACGUAGUUCUGGCCAGCUGUGAUCGCCCGGGGUCAGCCGGAGAAGGGGCCUGAGAAAAUGAGACUCAGGGCCAGUGAGCAAAAGGGCCCGGGAGAGAGAAGGAAGGGAAACUUCCCUCACUGGCCACACUGAUCAGCCAGGCCUGGGCCAGGCCGGGCGUGGAAAGCCACGUGAAGCAUCUGUGCAGGGCCUUCUAGGCAUGAAGCUGGCUGGGGUGGGCAGGAUUGUCACCCCUAGUUUAACAGACGAGGAAACUGAGAUUCGGGCAGGGGAAACGGCUUGCUGUCGGUCACUGGUUCCCCAGGCUUGGAACAGCAUGGUCGGCAGGGAGAGGGAGGGGGAGAAACAGAGGCUGGGUGUGUGGCCCCCGCUGAGUCCUCUGCAUUACAGUCUCAGUUGAAGUGGGCCGGGGGUUCGGUCCUGGUGGUCAUGUUCCUGGGGCUAGGCAGGUCACUGGGAGAGGAGCCGGGAGUGGGACCGAGUGCAGUGGGGAGCUGCCCCGCCCCAAAGCAUGAGCUCCUUCCCCGCAGCAGGGGACAGGCCUGUCUCCAAGGAGGGAAAGUGAGAGGACUCCAGCAGGGGGCGUGCUCCCUCAGCGUGGGGGCCACGGCCUGUGCAUGCUGGUGGGGCGGGUUGGGACCUCAUGCAGGCCCAGAGGGUCACCCGUGGGCUAGGCCUCUAAUGCAGCCCCACCUGCAGGCUGUUCUGCUGCGGCUUCCGCCAGGAGCUCUGCUGAUCCCACUGAUAGGAUUAUAUCCAGAAGAUGAGAAGUAUAAAACAAAAGAGGCCUUUAUUCUGAGAACACGGAGAGAGAGAACUGACACCCCCUGACCACUGGAGUCUGGCUUUCUCUGUGGUGGACACAUGGCGUCGGGGGUAUUUAAGUAGUCUUGGUUUGGGAUGGAAUCUAAGUGGGCAUCAGGGAUGCACGGGUAGCCCAUUGGUCUAGGUUUGGCACCAUAGGUAAAUUCCUAAGGGGCGGGGAAGAUGGAGUCACAGGUAAAUUCCUAAGGGUAGAGGAGAUAGGAGCUCUUUGGUUCCACCUUUAAGGCUUCACCAGCUACAGUGCCCUGUCUGGGCCAAAACCCUUUCAAACCUCUACACCACCACCUGCCUCUAUUUCCCGCACUUUCUGCUCAGCUCGCCGUGUCGUGCAUCUGGUGAGUCUCAGCAGUCUCCUUGGCCACCCUGAAGUCCAUCCUUUAUGGAUCCACUGGACCUCAGCGCUGCCAGGAGCUCUGUGGGCCCCCAAACCCAGCCUCCAACUUCUAGACUCAGUAGAGUCAAAGCCUCACGGAUGUUUGCAACUCAGAAGCCUGGGGAAAGGCAUUGGAAGAGUUAUGGUCAUGUGGAGAAAAAGGCGCCUCUGCUGGGGAAUUAACUUAGCGCCUGCUGUGAACUGAGGCCUCCGCAUCCCUUGAUUUCCCUGGGCGAGGCGGUGUCCUUUGCAAGGAGGAGGGUACAUCAUGUGCUCAGGAGGUGCAAGGGGACUUCCUGGGUGCAGCGCAGGUAACAAUGAGGUGCAGCUGGUUUUUUGGGGGGAAAACCAAGGAUGAUUCUGGGCUGAGUGGGGAAGUAGAGGCAGCCAUGACCACACUGGGCAAGAGUUAGUGGGAGCCGGCCCAGCGCAGGGCUGUCCUGGAGCCUGCGCUUGUCAGCCUUCCCCGUGGUCCAUUACGGCCCUUGUCUCACAGGAUGUAGGGUCUUUGGUUAAGAAUUUGGACUUCAAAGUGGGGUCUUCAAGGUCCCCUGCCCCUGCCCUGCCUGCCAUCUUCAGCCGCCUUCCAGAUGUUCAAAAGGGGACCGUUUAUUGAGCAUUUGCUACUUCUUGACUGCUUUCAAUCCAUUCAGCUCAAUGCUCUAUAAACCCCCAGCCAAAUAGGUUUGGUCAGCCUCCUUUUAUCAUUGGCGAAAUGGAGGUAUAGCGAAUCUAAGCUGCUUGUCACAGAGCUGGGAAACAACAGAGGAGGGAUUUGAACUGGGGCUGUCCAAAUCCUGGGAACUACUCGGUCCCCUGUACUGUGCUGCCUCUGACAUGGGCUGGGCGAGCUUCUGAUGGCAAUGCUGGUGGCCGCAGGUGUAACCAACUGUGCUCUUACACAUCAUUGCUAAGUGGAGACCAUGCAGGGGAAGAAAAGGCACUGGCUAAGGAAAUCUGACCUUUACUUACCUGUGUCAGCCUGGGGUUUCUGAGGAAGCAAAGUUCAGCUGUGAGAACCUUCCACCCCCUGCUCGCCCAUCCAGCUCCUUCUGCAGCAUCCUUGGGCAAGAGCCUGGCAGAGGUGGGCUGGGAAUCUAUGCCUGACUGAGGAAUCCAGGAUGGCCCCCCACAGAUGGAGCUGCUCCAUCUCUACCCUCGUUUGUUCCUGCGGAUGCUCUGUGAGUUGCUCAAGGAGGAUGAGCAGGCCAAUGCAGAUCUGCCCCUGCUCCCUGUCCUGUAGCCAGAGAGGAGUGGCCCAGGGGCUCAGAAGCGUGGGGCUGCCUCGGGUUAGAGCAGUGUGGUGGCAUCAACCUCUGGGGGUGCUGGAAAAUGUGCAGAAGCUGUUUUUGGGCAUUCAUGUACAGACGUUGAAUUUUUAGGUAGAAAUACUGUAAAUUGCUUCUUAUGCUUCAUUAUACUAAGGGCAUUAUAUUGAUUUUUAAAUUAUGGAGAUAAUUAUUUAUGGAUUUCAAUUCAGGGUGGCAAAGAGGAAAUUUAACUAUUUCCUUUCAGAAUGGGGCACUGAGUGUGACAGGACUACAGGUCCUGCUCAACAGGGCUGAGCCAACUGCUGGUGCCCACACCUCUACAGAGCGCUGCGGCUGAACCCCCCUUCCUCAUCUAGUCCCCCACCUCUUCCGAGCUGAGGGCCUCUCCACACAGCCCUUGUGAACACCAGCGAGCCGGGAUCUGGUUUUGAUCCCUUGCUGUUUGGGCUGAGAUUCCUACUGGCAGCAUGGCAGCCUCAGCUUAGCCCAGUCUGCACCCCCAAGCUCUCCGUGAGGAUCCUGGUUUCUACCCUGGCUUUCCUGAGGCUCACUUCUUAAAACAUCCAUCUCCGUUUAGCUGGGUGUUACCAGGCAUGUGUGUCCUUUAGCCAGUGUCUAUUGAGAGCCUCCUACCUUCCUCCUGCCUAGGAGCAGCUUAAAAUGCGUGGUUCUCAAUUCAUAACCAAAUCAGUGCUUGCAGCUACAGGACCUCUCCACCCCAGCCCAUCCUGAGGCUGGACACGCUCCUGUCAGUGGUGGUUGAUUCUCAGGGUAGUGUGUGGCCCAAUUCCUCCUCCCCUUAUCCUCUGAGCGAGACUUGUGACACAUUUUCUACCUCUGUUUGGGAGUCACUGUGUGAACUUGGGAAGAAAAGUUCCAUAAGCAUUUGGUUAGUUUCUUAUCAGGCUGAGGUGAAAGAGAGCCGAGGACCAGGAGACUGCACGGAGGCUAACUCACCUGGAGCCAUGGUGGCACUGUGCGUCACCUUCUCCCCCAGGUAACUAUUAAAGAAUGAUUGGAGGAAAGAAACAAGAGUGUUGAUACUUCCCUAAUGCAACAGAUUUGGAGCCCAAGAACAUUUGUUUUGGGGAGGAUGAAGCAGUCUUGCUCUCAUCCUAAAGACACCGUUCAUGGUCUUUUAAGCCUUUUGAAAAUGCGUGCAGCCAGUGGAAUUAGACCUGCAUCAUAUCUUGCAUCCAAUUUUCUUCCUAAAUAUUUCUCUUUAAACAGUAUUGCUAUGCAGAUAAUAGGAAACAGGGAGAGAGAUCUUUUGCAAAUGAGAAGGGCACCAAGAGAUGGAGGGAAAAGGAGGAAGGAGAGAGAAAGGAGAAGUAAAAGGAAUUAGGACUUGUGUACACUCACCAGUUCCCUGUGCUGGGUGUAAUCAUUGUAUACUGCAAAUAUGUGCUGAUAAAAAUAAAAAUUUACAAUGUUUCUGUGCAUUUUCUGUGACUUAAUAACAAUAAAAGAUUGGCUUCCUCACUGUUCUUUCAUUACAGGUCACUAUAAAGAUGAAAUGAGAUGGCCCAAACGUUUUGAAUUUGACACAAAUACGCAUGCAUGAAAACGUAUUAGAAGUCAUACUCGUGACUGAAAAGCUUGAUCCUUUAUUUUGGCAGCAGCUUCUCUGUGGUAUUCAGCCUGGCCCAUCCUUGUUCUGAUGUCACUGAUUUGAAUCCACUCUUUUUUUUUUUUUCUUUUUUCUGGUACCGGGGAUCGAACUCAUGACCGCCUGCUUGCAAGUCAGGUACUUAUGCCGCUGAGCUAAAUCCCCAGCCCCCUUGAAUGCACUCUUACAGUUAGCUCCUGUUUUGUCUUAGUGGUGUCGUGCUGACUUACAUGGAAGCUUGGGAUGAGUGCUCGUGUCUGACGAACCAGUGCAAACCCUGAAGUAAGAGUCUGAUGGCGCAGUUCUCCCGUCCCAACUUUGGGGCACCGGGAGUAUCUGAGGGUCACCAGGGACACAGGGCCCACACUGCCAAGGCUUUUCCUUCCUGUGGCUGUGUCCACUUCCACUCUUGGUCUUUGUGUCUGCAGGGGCAGGCUCUCUGGGCCAGGAGAGGUCAGUGCUGUGUGUUAUUCAGGGGCUAAGGAAGAGUCUGCUGUGAGGAAUACUGCUCGAGUUCCUGAGAUAUAGCAGAAAAGCCAUUGCCACCAAAUUCCACACUUAGAAUCCCUACCCAGGAUAGAGAAACAGAAAAAGAGCAAGGGAUAAACAGCAGCAGUGCCUUGGGGGUCUCAGGAGCAGUGGAGGGGGAGGGAGGAUGGGGUGGCCUAAGGACCCUCAUGUGACUUCCCCACUGCCUAUCACAUUCUACCUCUUCUGCCUCAGUUACCCACGCGCUUCCCUCAGACUCAGGCGUCUUCUGGCCUCCAAUGAGGCCACUUCCUUCUUAGUCCUUGGCCUGCAGACCUCUCUUUCUUUUGUGUCCCCACUGGAGUCCUGGGCUCAGGUUCUUGGGCUCACACAGUGUCCUGUGCAUUGCAUUGCCCGAAGCCUGGCUCCCAGCUUAGGACUGAUGGCUCUGGAUCCUCCACUAGAGAGCUGCAGGGGAAGGAGAGGGGCGAAGGCUGUACAUGGGAACAGAGGAAGUGGGGGAAGGUGACGACCUAGGCUUAAAACUUGCCUCAACUCAGGAAAUGGGGAUGAGGUAGGCGGGACACAUACUUCUCUUCAGGGUCACAUGAUGCAGAUUUUAGUUUUUUAAAAGCCUGAUGCCCAUUUUCUAAUUUGGUUCAUCUACACCAUAGUUAGAGAUAUAUGCUGUUCCUCCUGAGAUGCUGUAACACUGAUGGCCACCCCCACUACUGGGAGAACUUUUAGUUAGGCCUGUGGUCACCUGAUACUUCUCCAAGCCUUCUAGGAAGAUGAGUAGGGACAUGUGACCGAGAGCUGGCCUUUAUGUCCUGGGCGGGAGUAAGGCAUCCGUGACCUUACGAGUGGGCACCUUCCCCUUUUCUCUUCCCCUCCCUUGGCUGAAGAGAGAAGUUGUUUGGGAGCCAUCUUUGGCCACAUGGAACAGGCAGGGACUGGCCGCAGAGUAGGGAUGGCAGAGCCCCAAGACAGGCGUGGCCUAUGCCUGGCCCCUGGUCAACACUGGAAGUUUCUCCUGGGCAGGGGAGGUGGGCCUUGUUAUUACAAAGCUGAUUUUGAGAAAUGGAUCUGCUUUCCUCACAACGAGAAGAAGCAGUUCCUAGGUGAGAAUGAUGGUCAGAGCCUUGGUUAGGGUGGAUUCUCCAAACCACAAAUGCUCCCCAUGAAGCCUUUUGGGAUAGAAGCCCUCACCAUUGCUUUCUAUCAUACAUAAAAUAAACAGAUGUUUUGGUUACUUUUCUCUUGUUGCUGGGACAAAAUACCCAAUCCCCAAGAUUAAGAAAGGGAAGGUUUAUUUAGCUCACAAUUUGUGGAGGUUUCAGUCCAUAAUCAGCUGGCUCUAAGGCAGGAUGGCAUGGCACAGGGGCAACUGUUCAUGGUAGUGGAAGACAGCAAAAGCAACAAGAGCAAAAAGAGAGAUGCAUGAAGAGAAGAGACUUGCUGUCAUCUAUAUUUUAUGU